UAUCCUGUCUGAAUAUGGGGGGACCAUCCUCCAAGGCUAAAUACUCCUGACUGACCGAUAGUGAACCAGUACCGUGAGGGAAAGGCGAAAAGAACCCCGGCGAGGGGAGUGAAAAAGAACCUGAAACCGUGUACGUACAAGCAGUGGGAGCACAGAGCAAUCUGUGUGACUGCGUACCUUUUGUAUAAUGGGUCAGCGACUUAUAUUCUGUAGCAAGGUUAACCGAAUAGGGGAGCCGAAGGGAAACCGAGUCUUAACUGGGCGUUAAGUUGCAGGGUAUAGACCCGAAACCCGGUGAUCUAGCCAUGGGCAGGUUGAAGGUUGGGUAACACUAACUGGAGGACCGAACCGACUAAUGUUGAAAAAUUAGCGGAUGACUUGUGGCUGGGGGUGAAAGGCCAAUCAAACCGGGAGAUAGCUGGUUCUCCCCGAAAGCUAUUUAGGUAGCGCCUCGUGAAUUCAUCUCCGGGGGUAGAGCACUGUUUCGGCAAGGGGGUCAUCCCGACUUACCAACCCGAUGCAAACUGCGAAUACCGGAGAAUGUUAUCACGGGAGACACACGGCGGGUGCUAACGUCCGUCGUGAAGAGGGAAACAACCCAGACCGCCAGCUAAGGUCCCAAAGUCAUGGUUAAGUGGGAAACGAUGUGGGAAGGCCCAGACAGCCAGGAUGUUGGCUUAGAAGCAGCCAUCAUUUAAAGAAAGCGUAAUAGCUCACUGGUCGAGUCGGCCUGCGCGGAAGAUGUAACGGGGCUAAACCAUGCAC
This 765-nucleotide ribosomal RNA is filed under the name Escherichia coli. RNAcentral's name for it is "partial 23S ribosomal RNA". It matches the Rfam family "Bacterial large subunit ribosomal RNA", at positions 430 to 1194 of the family's 2925-position model. Lineage: Bacteria; Pseudomonadati; Pseudomonadota; Gammaproteobacteria; Enterobacterales; Enterobacteriaceae. The record is from RNAcentral.